CUAGUUUCUAGCCUCUAUCUAACAACUAUCUGACUUGGGUUUAGAAAUUUUCUUGUAACUUCUCUCAAAUCACUAAUUCUCCAUCAACAUCCCCAUUUAGGGAAUCCUGCCUAACCAAGUCCCAAGGAGGCCAUGUGGUUGUAAAGAGUCUCCUCACAGAUGCUGUGCUCCCUGACUGUCAUCCAAAUAAACUUGAGGACAAGAAGGAAAAAUGCUAUGCAAAGCCAGAAGAGGUGGCCAGACCCCAGGAAUUUAGAAGGCAGAGAAGUCUUCCAGCAUUACACCGACCUCAUUUGUCAUCAUCAUCAUUAUCACCCAAAUCCUCCAGUGUUCUCCAUAUCAAAUCUUCAGAUGAAAGAAGCUGAGCCCAGAGAGCUUAAGGAACUUUUCCAAAGUCAAUGAAUAUGAAAUGGCAGAGCCAAGAAUCAAACCCAGGUCUUCCGAGCUCAAAGCCAGUGUUGCUUCUCUCUACCAUUCAGUGCUACGUAAGGAAAGUGUUUAGUAAUUCUUC
This 511-nucleotide long non-coding RNA is filed under the name Monodelphis domestica (gray short-tailed opossum). RNAcentral describes it as "lncRNA (ENSMODG00000036307.2)". Lineage: Eukaryota; Metazoa; Chordata; Mammalia; Didelphimorphia; Didelphidae. The record is from RNAcentral.